UAUGGAGGAUCCAAGCGUUAUCCGGAUUUAUUGGGUUUAAAGGGUGCGUAGGCGGCUUAUUAAGUCAGGGGUGAAAGACGGUGGCUCAACCAUCGCAGUGCCCUUGAUACUGAUGAGCUUGAAUACACUAGAGGUAGGCGGAAUGUGACAAGUAGCGGUGAAAUGCAUAGAUAUGUCACAGAACACCGAUUGCGAAGGCAGCUUACUAUGGUGUGAUUGACGCUGAGGCACGAAAGCGUGGGGAUCAAACAGG
This 253-nucleotide ribosomal RNA is filed under the name uncultured bacterium. RNAcentral describes it as "partial 16S ribosomal RNA". It matches the Rfam family "Bacterial small subunit ribosomal RNA", at positions 524 to 776 of the family's 1533-position model. The record is from RNAcentral.